UACGUAGGGGGCAAGCGUUGUCCGGAUUUACUGGGCGUAAAGAGCGUGUAGGCGGCCAAGCAGGUCCGUUGUGAAAACUGGAGGCUUAACCUCCAGACGUCGACGGAAACCGCGUGGCUAGAGUCCGGAAGAGGAGAGUGGAAUUCCUGGUGUAGCGGUGAAAUGCGCAGAUAUCAGGAAGAACACCAAUGGCGAAGGCGGAUCUCUGGGCCUUACCUGACGCUCAGGCACGAAAGCUAGGGGAGCGAACAGG
RNAcentral lists this ribosomal RNA (253 nucleotides) under uncultured bacterium. RNAcentral describes it as "partial 16S ribosomal RNA". It matches the Rfam family "Bacterial small subunit ribosomal RNA", at positions 524 to 776 of the family's 1533-position model. The record is from RNAcentral.